Molecule: non-coding RNA, 113 nt
Organism: Acanthosepion pharaonis
Lineage: Eukaryota; Metazoa; Mollusca; Cephalopoda; Sepiida; Sepiidae
Source: the annotation of a GenBank genome assembly
UUAUGGCCACAUCAAGUUGAAGCACCGGCCCCCAUACUACAGCCGAAGUUAAGCAACGUCGAGCCUGCUUGGUACCCAGAUGGGUGACCGUUUUGGAAUACCAGGUGCUGUAA